ACUUCAAUAAGCAAUGAUGGUUCUAUAACUGAUGGAACUCAGAGCUAAAAGAGGUUGUUUGAGGUGUGCCCCUGAUAAGAGACAGCUGGUUAUUUGGGCACGGCAUGCAGCUGAAAUCAAUAUGUGUUUUGCUGUAGGCCUUAGAGAUGGCUGAGCUGCUGGAAAGGAGCUAAGCUGGCAAAGGCAUGCAACUUCCUGGGAAUGCAGAUUUUGCAGAUGUUUCUUGUGUGCUUAGACACUGCUCCUGCCCAGCAAUUCAAUGAGAUUGCUGGUGAGAUGCUGACUGCAAAGAAAUGCACAAUAAAAUCAGCAAGAGAAUUCCGGAGUUCCUGUGUACAAGAGCUGUGAAUCAACAGCUUCCAAGUCUUUCCAGUCCCAGAGACUUCAAGGAGGGGCAGCCCUACCAUUCCUAUACUCACACACACAUCCAUGCCCAAACAUCAACCUAGGAAUAGAUGAGAGAGUACAAAGCACAACCCAGGAAGACUCUUUCAUCACUUACUCAGAUGGGAGGAAAACAAAAAUCUUCUCAAUCACCAGUCUGGUUUCACACUCAGCUCCAAGGAUGGUCACAAAGGAAGAGCUGUGCUUCCUGUUGCUACAGGAUGGAAAUGGUAUGGUAUUCCCUGCUAUCUUUCUUCUCAACGACCUUGUCUGUGCAGCCCCCUUAUAAAACUGGUGCUGGGAAACCAUUUCUCAGAGCUUUCACUGCGUGUUAUUUUUACUGACAGACUGUAAAAGUGGCAAGAGAUGCUUGUGAGUGCUACAAAGCUGAAGAAAUUAUCCUUUAAUUUCCUCGUAUGGAUAGCAAAAAAUGCAUUUCAAGAGCUCAAGUAUUUUACUCUGCCAUGCUUUUGGGUAGUGCAAGACAUCAAGUGGAACAUGCAUGGCAAGCAGAUUGUAGCUUACUUCCAUUCAAGCGUUUGGGGUGGAAAGGGAAGGCUCCCAGCACACCAGUGCCAUGUGUAACACAUCAGCUGCUCCCAGCCUCCAGCAGGGCAGCUGCCAGCCCCAAGGGGCCGGGGAGGGAGGCUCAGACUGGGAUCAAGCUUGGAACUUGAUUAAGGGAAUAAGAGAGGCUGAGGCAGCUAAAGAACUACGGGUUUUCUUUCAUCCUCCCCUCUUAACUGAAGCUCCUAGCCAUGUUACAAUUUCUACAAAGUGCCGGGGAAUUUCAUACAGUCUUUUCCCUGCUUUUCCCUGUAGCAAUGUGUAUAAGACAGCAAUAACUUCAAUUUGUUUUUCUUUAUAUAGUAAUAUCUUGUAGCCAUAUGUUUAAACUCUGUGUGUUUGGGAGCAAUAGUAAAGCUGUUUGUUUUCUGAUGCCAAUGGAUUCCCUGACUUGGAAGUGGUUUUGUCAGAGAAAAUCCUUGUUUUUCUCACACUUUUGCUGUUCACUCUUUUGAACUGGUGUUGUUCUGUAUGUGUUUUUAACCCACUUUGCUACUUUUCUGGUUGUAAACCAUUAAUGGCAGAUGUUCAACACUGGGAUUUGGGAGGAGAGCAGGGGGUGCUGCAAAAUUCCUUUAUCUCGAAGUAUAUGACUUCUCAUCUAAUUUUGUUUUAAAUGAAAUUUGUGACAAUUUCUUUCCGAUAACAAAACUGUCACUAUCUCUUCCUUUCUAUUCCCUAGCACUAUAAGUAACACUUCUGUAAGAUCCCAAGCCUGUUCCUAAAGUCACCAGAAGUCUAUAGGGCUCUUCACAACAUCUCCUGAAAUCAAUUCUGGUAGCAGUUUCACUGAUAGACUGCUUUUUUUCCUACUACUGAUAUUCAAAAUGACUUGCGUUUUCCAAGUAAUCUGUGAGCAUAAGGAGUUCUGGCAGAAGUGAGAUAAUCAUGGAUUAUCUACACGAAGGUUUGCAGGGUCAAGAGCUUAACAGUACCUGUUUUUUAAAUAGAAAGUGAAAAAUGCAGAACACUUUCAUUUCAAAAAUACUUGCACAGAAACACAACAACUUGGUGGACAGAAAACUUCUGUACAGCUGCUGAAUGCACCUGGGUGCUUCUAAAAUAGGACUGUCCUGUGCAGAGAAAUGCUGAGGACAGUCUGAGGAUGGAUGGUGGAGUUGUGAGGGUCCAAAAGAGCAGGGAAUCUGCCAGUGAGAACUUCAGCAUUAAGACAACACAUCUACUGGGAAUAAAUAAAAAGGCAUUGGUUUUGGUAGCAACUGUCAGCCUUCUGAAUUUGCGCAAGUGCCAUGUUCACUCAGAUGGCAGAAACCUUGUUGAGAUGCUAUGGGGAGAAAAAAAUACUUUGUAAAAGGAUGUUAACACUGUAAAGAGCAGAACUCUGCUACCUGUGUUGUUUUCCUGGUUUAUGCUGUAUUUUCAACAAUUAAUAUUUGUCCAGGCUCUGUCUAACUGCUCAUGUAGAGAGGUAGGGAAGAAAAGGAUUAUACAGAAAAAUACCUAGAG
Molecule: non-coding RNA, 2418 nt
Organism: Meleagris gallopavo (turkey)
Lineage: Eukaryota; Metazoa; Chordata; Aves; Galliformes; Phasianidae
Source: RefSeq, a predicted model, not a curated record